GCAGUGGUGGUUCAGUGGUAGAGCUCUUGCCUUCCGUGCAAAAGACCCAGGUUUGAUUCUGGCCAAUGCA
RNAcentral lists this transfer RNA (70 nucleotides) under Loxodonta africana (African savanna elephant). It matches the Rfam family "tRNA". From Rfam's summary of the family: Transfer RNA (tRNA) molecules are approximately 80 nucleotides in length. Their secondary structure includes four short double-helical elements and three loops (D, anti-codon, and T loops). Further hydrogen bonds mediate the characteristic L-shaped molecular structure. tRNAs have two regions of fundamental functional importance: the anti-codon, which is responsible for specific mRNA codon recognition, and the 3' end, to which the tRNAs corresponding amino acid is attached (by aminoacyl-tRNA synthetases). tRNAs cope with the degeneracy of the genetic code in two manners: having more than one tRNA (with a specific anti-codon) for a particular amino acid; and 'wobble' base-pairing, i.e. permitting non-standard base-pairing at the 3rd anti-codon position. The record is from Rfam by way of RNAcentral. Lineage: Eukaryota; Metazoa; Chordata; Mammalia; Proboscidea; Elephantidae.